AAACUGCAUUAUUUGGCAGUGUAGAUCUACCCUAUGUCACAGAAUUCUAAAUACUCUUCCCCAUACUGCCAAUCUAAAUUAAAGUGGAAUAUUUUAAUUUAUCUGUAUACUGUGAACAGACUCUUUGCUUUUCUCUUAUUUUGCUCCAUUUGAAGCCUUAAAAGAAGUAUCAAGAAAGAGGAAGAAUUGUGUAGGCCAGCUAGUUAGAAAAUCUGACCACUGCAAGAAGGAAUUCUGCCCAAAUAUAUGGACAUAUGGGCAAGUGUCAGUCCAAGCCUUUAUGCGGUCUAAAAAAAGGGUGAGAUGGCACACUUCCUUACUACAGACAGAGACUUUACAUCAGCAGACUAGCAUUUGGGUUGGAUGGCAGAGGAUAUACAGUACAUUCAGUUUUAUUCUCUGAUGCCUUUCUACUUCUCUGCAUGACCACUUUAAGCAUCAAGAAUGCUAUUUCUCCUGGUAUGCAAUCCAAGGCUGAUGAUCCUCAAACCUUUAUUCUUUCUGCAUUUCUCCUUUCUGUCAUCUGGAUUGGUUUCCUCUCUCUCCUGAUCAAUUUUUCAUGUUUCUCUUGCUGAAAUUUGUCCAUGUUUUAGUUUUCUGUCACGUUGAAAAGUGGCUGAGAAUUCUGUAUUUGUUCUUUGUAUUUCUUUCUAUUGUAUAUCCCCUUAUAAUUCUUCACUUCUCUGGCUGUCCACACUUCCUGAUCUGAACAAGCCCAGAGGAAAGGUUUCUGAAAUAUUCUUCCAUGUUCUAACAGAAGGAAGCCUCCAUUUGCCACAGAGAUGAGUGUGUAAUAAAGUGUAGGAUGUUCACAUACACUUGAAAAUAAACACAAGAAUUAUGAAUCUUAUCUAACGGAGCCUCUCCAAAGUUUCUUCCUUCUUUCAAACUAUUUUUAAAAAAUUUGUUUCUUUGCUAGCAACGUGAAUGAAAACAGUAGGAAAAUGUAGGGAAAAUACUCAGAACAGCACUGGCAAGAACAUGCAAAAAUGACAAAUGAGAUGAAAAAGAGAGCACUUGCCUAUUCAUAGCUGCUGAUACAUUCUACUUUCCAUGAAUUUGUUCAGAGUCCUAUUUUUAAAAAGACAUCAUGUGGCUACAAUAAUGUAAACCUCAAAAGUCAACCAAACUGGCUUUUUUCCCUUCCAUGGUCAAAUAAAUCUGUCACUUCUUCAGCCAUAUGAAGCUAUGAGUUGUCACGAACCAAGACAGUGGUUGAAAUUAGAAUUCCCCUUUCCUUUCAGGAACAUGCUGUUAACUAUAUUAUUAUUACAUACAUUUUUGCUCUAGGGUGUGUGCUUUAGAUAUUUUGAUUACAUAUUAUCCGUUUUUGCAUGAUGUGUUACUUAGCACAUUCUUUCAUAUGGCACAUAUCAAUAUGUGCCAGCUGUUUCCUUCAAACACACAACUAUUACUUUUAAAACCAUUUAGUUGAUAUCAUUCGCAACACUUGUAAAGCUAUAAAGCUUUAAAAAAUAUGAUUACAGAGUAGCAACAGAAACAGUAUUUAGCAGGAAUAAAUUUCGAUUACAAACAGACAACAAAAAGAAAUUAAUAGAUCGAGAAUUUUUAAGCAAUCCCCCUCCAUUUAUAUAUUCAUACUUCAUUAAAAAUGUUAUUCAUGUAAUUCUGAUAGUGGACUAAAUUGUGGCAGGAAAUCAUGCAGUAAAAGAUAUUACUCUGCUACUAUUGUUGAAGUAAAAUUCAGUUACCAGUCCUUCUGAGUUCUGCCAGUGGGUUGGUAAAUACACCAUUUUCUGCUCUACUUAAGGCAACAAAAUAUCUCAGGAUCACCCCCAAGCUGCGAACCUGUGACUUCAGGGAGAGUGUAACUCCAUCCAGUACAGGCUGUUACCCUAUAACCCAG
RNAcentral lists this long non-coding RNA (1867 nucleotides) under Anolis carolinensis (green anole). RNAcentral describes it as "lncRNA (ENSACAG00000045212.1)". The record is from RNAcentral. Lineage: Eukaryota; Metazoa; Chordata; Lepidosauria; Squamata; Anolidae.